Molecule: ribosomal RNA, 553 nt
Filed under: Penicillium sp. W18
Lineage: Eukaryota; Fungi; Ascomycota; Eurotiomycetes; Eurotiales; Aspergillaceae
Description: eukaryotic LSU rRNA
Rfam family: Eukaryotic large subunit ribosomal RNA
Source: RNAcentral
GGAGGAAAAGAAACCAACAGGGAUUGCCCCAGUAACGGCGAGUGAAGCGGCAAGAGCUCAAAUUUGAAAGCUGGCUCCUUCGGGGUCCGCAUUGUAAUUUGCAGAGGAUGCUUCGGGAGCGGUCCCCAUCUAAGUGCCCUGGAACGGGACGUCAUAGAGGGUGAGAAUCCCGUAUGGGAUGGGGUGUCCGCGCCCGUGUGAAGCUCCUUCGACGAGUCGAGUUGUUUGGGAAUGCAGCUCUAAAUGGGUGGUAAAUUUCAUCUAAAGCUAAAUAUUGGCCGGAGACCGAUAGCGCACAAGUAGAGUGAUCGAAAGAUGAAAAGCACUUUGAAAAGAGAGUUAAAAAGCACGUGAAAUUGUUGAAAGGGAAGCGCUUGCGACCAGACUCGCUCGCGGGGUUCAGCCGGCAUUCGUGCCGGUGUAUUUCCCCGCGGGCGGGCCAGCGUCGGUUUGGGCGGUCGGUCAAAGGCCCUCGGAAGGUAACGCCCCUAGGGGCGUCUUAUAGCCGAGGGUGCAAUGCGACCUGCCUAGACCGAGGAACGCGCUUCGGCUC